UUUGUUUUCAGGCAAAUGGAUUCUUGUUUAACAUAUUUAGGUAUCCAAUUAACAGCAUUCAAACCAACACAGCAAAUGGAUUCUUAGCCAACCCAGUGAGUACACCAAAUCCUCUCCUUCAUUGCAACUUGAAACCAGCUGACAUUGUCUUUCUGUUGGAUUCCUCAGGAAGUGAAGGAGUGCGACAUUUUAGGGAACAACUUAACUUUGUCAAAAACUUCGUAAAAGAGUUUGACAUAGGACCCUCCAAUGUACAAAUCAGUGCAGUGUCUUUUGCAACAAGAAUACGUGAAAACUUCAACUUAAAGACAUACCAUACUAAGGCAGACAUUCUUAAUGCCAUCGAUAGAAUUCCAUAUAUGUCCGGUUCCACACACACUGCUGAAGCAAUCACCUACGCGAUUCAGCACAGCUUCACCCUAUUGGUGGUGACAGGGCCCCUGUUAGUGACGUCUUGUUCGUUGUGACUGACGGACAGUCCAUUUCACUUUCAGCAACAAGUCAGGCGGCCAACUUAGCCCAUAAAGCUGGUAUUAAAACAUUCGCAAUAGGAAUCGCAAACUCAAUAUCCGAACAGGAACUUUUAAAUAUAGCCUCAGAUUCAAAACACGUGUUUCAUGUUUCCACAUUCGAUGCCCUUCACCUACUUUAGAAUGAGCUAAGAAAUAAAACUUGCGAAGCAUUAUCCCAAAGUAGUUUGAAUUGCUCUAACCAAAUAUCGAACUGUCAAAUCUAUGGUCCUUCUGUUUGCAUUACGUACGCCCAGUGGGGACGAGAUAAAUGUCCGCUGUACUGUGGAUAUUGUCAAGCCCAAGGAACGUCAACGUCAGUGGCUCCUGUAACCACAACAACACAAGGUGAUUUUC
This is a long non-coding RNA of Saccostrea cuccullata (small rock oyster), 866 nucleotides long. RefSeq lists it as uncharacterized. Lineage: Eukaryota; Metazoa; Mollusca; Bivalvia; Ostreida; Ostreidae. The record is from RefSeq and is a predicted model, not a curated record. The transcript is spliced from 5 exons.